CAGCUCAUAUAAGGUAAAAAGAAAAAGGUUAUCCAGCUUCUGAGCCGCAUGGAAGGAGAUUUCACCCAGCGCUCCCAUGCCAGCUGCUUAAAAAACCCCAGCGGGCAGUGUGGGGCCACAGUGCCAGUUAUAAUGGGACAGGAGGAGGUGGCGGUUGCGUGCCCGCGCCCCGCGGUGAUGUGGGAGAGGGCAGCAGCCUUGGCCACAGGAGUACCCAGGGACACAGCCAUCACUGGAGAUACUGGAGGUGCACAGAGAUUGUACAUCCCCGGACAGCAAGAGAAAGGCAGAUCUGGCGUGCCAGUGUCCUGCCUGCAUUGGAUGCCCUUUUGGCACUGGCAGCAGCAAGCACAAACCCAGCAGCUGGUUCCCAGGGCAGUGCUGAGCCUGGGGUCGCUCCCCGCUAAAAGCAGCCUGGCCCCUUCCCAAGGAGCUGCUCACAAGGAGUGCACGGGGCUGGGAGGCUGAGCUCUGACAUGGGACAGCCAGGAGGGGCCCUGUGAGCAGUGCUGCCCCGUGGCACUGAGCCCCAUGGCUGUUCCCACACUUGGCCAGUGCUCAGGGCUGGCCCGGCCCGAGCUGGGAGCAGGGACAGCCAGAGCUGGCAAAAGCAGCUCCCAGACAUCCCUCCCGAGUGACUCACACCGUGAUCUGCACAUGGAGUUUGGGGCACCGUGAGGCUUUUCCCUUUCUUUCCUCCCAAUAAAUCGGGGCUGAGGAGCUGGGGGAUGGUGGCUGGGGGAGCGGGGUGCGAGCAGAGGCUGUGGGUGCCCGGCUCCCAGCUGGGUGCGCUCAGGGGGGGCCAUGCCGGAUGCAGGGCGUCACGCUGGAGCUGCACCAUCUGCUUCUUGUCAGGCUGCUGGGAGCACUGCGGCCGUGGCUGUGAUGAAUGGUGUGUUUAUCGUGCUCUAGCGCUACUCAGGAUGUUAGUGCUCGCCUGCAGGAGAUGUUUCUGUGCUCGGCUGCUCCCCCUGUUCUCCCUCCUCCUGCUCCCCCCAGACCGUCUCCCUUGGGCCCACGAAGGGGAAGCGGGGGGUGUCCAUCCCACAGCCUCCAGCUCUGCCUGCAGCUGAGCUCCAGGGACCAGCACUGAAGCCUUCCCACAGGUACCACCCAGCUGCAGGCUCCUCUCUGGUGAGGACAGGGAUGGGGGCAGGGAUGGGGGCAUCCCACAUCACCCCAGGGGUGUCCUGGCCCUGCUGAGUGGCAGACCCAUACUCCACAGCCACCCCAGCAGCCACAUCAGUGUGGUUUGAGAUCACAGGCAGUGACUCCUCAGUGCUGGACCACGUUCCAGGUCCUGCAGCCCCACAGACACAUGGUUGGGAUGCAGUAGUGGCUGCAGCCCUUCUUCAAGCACAGCAGUUUAUCUGUGCGAUGCCACAGCCCUGUUCACCCCACCAGCCCCCAGCCUCAUCCACCCUGCAGCCGUGAUGCCCAGUGGAACAGCCACACGGCCAUGUGUGGCAUGGCACACAUCGAACGCAGCCGGGGGCUCCUCCAUGUCUCCCAGCCCAAGGUGCAGUGCUGCAUCUCUGGUCAAUUGGGAGUCUGAGAUGAAGCACUGUAGCUCGGGAAGGGAGGAACUGUGCCCUGGGACCCCGACAGCCCUUGGACUGAAUCCUGCUGGGAGCACUGAUGCCAACGGAACGUGGGAGCUGCGCAGUGAGAUGGGAGCACAGCUCACGGCUGGAUUUGGGGUUUCCCUCCCCCUUCCCAGCCCACUGCCUCUUGCUGGGUCCUCAGCUGUGGGAGCAGGGGCUCUCCCAGCCGUGUUUUGGACAUUGCCUCUGAUGGAGAAGCACAGUGAACGGAGCUUGCUGUGUCCCAUGAAGGUCCCAUAGAGGCUGCAGACCCCCAGCCGUGGGGCAGGGCUCACCCCUCUGCUCCGUAUCCUGCGAGAGAAGGGCAGAGGAGGAGAGGUUUGCUUUGAGGCAGAGGAACAUCAGUGUGCCCGGUCAGGAUCCCCAGAGCACCCAGCUCAGUGUAGGGUGCAGCGUGGGGGCAGCGGGGUCACACACAGAGCAGCCGUGCAGGUUAAGGGCCGGUGGGAGCCGCGGUCGCCGUGCUCUCAGGGUCCAGUUUUCCCAGGAAUCCCUUAGGCGCUACGUUGGGGAUUCCUGGAAAUACUGUUCUUGGGGCCACGGCUCUGCACAUGGACACAGCCCGACCCCGAGCGGAGCCGCAGCCCCGCAGGAGCCACGGACGAGGUACGGGGAUGCGGCUGCGAGUGGGACCCCCCGGGAAGCCCCGAUAUGGGGCGGUGGAGGGACCAGCCCAGGUAAUGCCCCCAUCCCGCAGGGCUCGGGGAUAUUGCCGGCCCUUCGGUGCGGGCUGACACCACCGGCGGCCUUUAACACCCUUCGCCGCCCUCCACGAAGGACAGACCUCCGCCCCUGUAUCAAUAAAGGUCUCAACCCCAA
Coturnix japonica (Japanese quail) is the source of this 2423-nucleotide long non-coding RNA. RefSeq lists it as uncharacterized. NCBI's taxonomy places the organism in Eukaryota, Metazoa, Chordata, Aves, Galliformes, Phasianidae. The record is from RefSeq and is a predicted model, not a curated record.